Molecule: long non-coding RNA, 173 nt
Organism: Canis lupus familiaris (dog)
Lineage: Eukaryota; Metazoa; Chordata; Mammalia; Carnivora; Canidae
Exons: 2
Source: RefSeq, a predicted model, not a curated record
AGCAAAUGCUGAUCGAAGCCCGGAGCAGAUGGACGUUCCUCCUGUGGCCACUGUAGUGAUUGGGGGAUAAGAACUUCACUAAAUUCAUAAGUGCCAAGAAAAAAAAAAAAAGAACAGGGUACUUACAGAAUCAAUACUUUGCGAAAACAUUAUGGAAGCCGGCUCAGUCUGCC